UGGAUGGAAAAUUACUUUGUUUGCACUAAAGUUUUCUAAGCCAACCAU
RNAcentral lists this transfer RNA (48 nucleotides) under Tyrophagus longior. RNAcentral's name for it is "tRNA-Ala". Lineage: Eukaryota; Metazoa; Arthropoda; Arachnida; Sarcoptiformes; Acaridae. The record is from RNAcentral.